RNAcentral lists this ribosomal RNA (339 nucleotides) under Eleale robusta. RNAcentral describes it as "partial 12S ribosomal RNA". The record is from RNAcentral. Lineage: Eukaryota; Metazoa; Arthropoda; Insecta; Coleoptera; Cleridae.
ACCUGUUCUAUAAUUGAUAAUCCACGAUUUAAUGUACCUGUUUUAAUAAAUUUAUAUAUCGUCGUAGCUUGAAUAUUUUAUAAGAAAUUUAAUAUUCGAGAUUUUUAUUAAAAAAUAAAUCAGAUCAAGGUGUAGUUUAUAAAUAAGAAGAAAUGGGUUACAAUUAAAUUAUUAAUGAAUUAAUUUAUAUAAUUAAAUUAUGAAAUUGGAUUUGAAAGUAAUUUUUUAUAAUUUUAAAAAAUGAUUUUAGCUCUAAAAUAUGUACAUAUUGCCCGUCACUUUUGUUUUAAGAUGAAAUAAGUCGUAACAAAGUAGAUUUACUGGAAAGUGAAUCUAGAA